Molecule: ribosomal RNA, 510 nt
Filed under: uncultured bacterium
Lineage: Bacteria
Description: partial 16S ribosomal RNA
Rfam family: Bacterial small subunit ribosomal RNA
Source: RNAcentral
GACGAACGCUGGCGGCGUGCUUAACACAUGCAAGUCGAACGAAGAGCGAUGGAAGCUUGCUUCUAUCAAUCUUAGUGGCGAACGGGUGAGUAACGCGUAAUCAACCUGCCCUUCAGAGGGGGACAACAGUUGGAAACGACUGCUAAUACCGCAUACGAUCUAAUCUCGGCAUCGAGGAUAGAUGAAAGGUGGCCUCUACAUGUAAGCUAUCACUGAAGGAGGGGAUUGCGUCUGAUUAGCUAGUUGGAGGGGUAACGGCCCACCAAGGCGAUGAUCAGUAGCCGGUCUGAGAGGAUGAACGGCCACAUUGGGACUGAGACACGGCCCAGACUCCUACGGGAGGCAGCAGUGGGGAAUCUUCCGCAAUGGACGAAAGUCUGACGGAGCAACGCCGUGUGAGUGAUGACGGCCUUCGGGUUGUAAAGCUCUGUUAAUCGGGACGAAAGGCCUUCUUGCGAAUAGUGAGAAGGAUUGACGGUACCGGAAUAGAAAGCCACGGCUAACUACGUG